GCUUUCUUUGCUGGCGACCGGCGCACGGGUGAGUAACACGUAUCCAACCUACCCUUUACUCGGGGAUAGCCUUUCGAAAGAAAGAUUAAUACCCGAUGGCAUAGCUCUUCCGCAUGGUAGAACUAUUAAAGGAUUUCGGUCAUCGAUGGGGAUGCGUUCCAUUAGGUUGUUGGCGGGGUAACGGCCCACCAAGCCUUCGAUGGAUAGGGGUUCUGAGAGGAAGGUCCCCCACAUUGGAACUGAGACACGGUCCAAACUCCUACGGGAGGCAGCAUG
RNAcentral lists this ribosomal RNA (276 nucleotides) under uncultured bacterium. RNAcentral describes it as "partial 16S ribosomal RNA". It matches the Rfam family "Bacterial small subunit ribosomal RNA", at positions 78 to 353 of the family's 1533-position model. The record is from RNAcentral.